UACGUAGGGUGCAAGCGUUGUCCGGAAUUAUUGGGCGUAAAGAGCUCGUAGGCGGUCUGUCGCGUCGGCUGUGAAAACUCAGGGCUUAACCCUGAGCUUGCAGUGGGUACGGGCAGACUAGAGUGCGGUAGGGGAGACUGGAAUUCCUGGUGUAGCGGUGAAAUGCGCAGAUAUCAGGAGGAACACCGAUGGCGAAGGCAGGUCUCUGGGCAUUAACUGACGCUGAGGAGCGAAAGCAUGGGGAGCGAACAGG
This 253-nucleotide ribosomal RNA is filed under the name uncultured bacterium. RNAcentral describes it as "partial 16S ribosomal RNA". It matches the Rfam family "Bacterial small subunit ribosomal RNA", at positions 524 to 776 of the family's 1533-position model. The record is from RNAcentral.